CUCGUAGGUGGCCAACUAAGUCAUACGUGAAAUCCCUCAGCUUAACUGGGGAACUGCGUCUGAUACUGGAUGGCUUGAGUUUGGGAGAGGGAUGCGGAAUUCCAGGUGUAGCGGUGAAAUGCGUAGAUAUCUGGAGGAACACCGGUGGCGAAGGCGGCAUCCUGGACCAAUACUGACACUGAGGAGCGAAAGCCAGGGAGACGAAACG
This 208-nucleotide ribosomal RNA is filed under the name uncultured bacterium. RNAcentral describes it as "partial 16S ribosomal RNA". It matches the Rfam family "Bacterial small subunit ribosomal RNA", at positions 568 to 775 of the family's 1533-position model. The record is from RNAcentral.